This is an RNA transcript of Sorghum bicolor (sorghum), 1478 nucleotides long. It is a transcript of the gene named protein AUXIN-REGULATED GENE INVOLVED IN ORGAN SIZE, with no coding region annotated. The record is from RefSeq and is a predicted model, not a curated record. NCBI's taxonomy places the organism in Eukaryota, Viridiplantae, Streptophyta, Magnoliopsida, Poales, Poaceae. The transcript is spliced from 3 exons.
CGCCGGGUGUAUUAUGUCUAGUCUAUGGCAGUUGUAUUUAUCUGCCCGGCCGGGAUGCAGUGUACCUGGGUGCAUGCUCUGGCCUCCUCCUCCUGCUGCUGCCUAGCUCAUCUUCCUCCUCACGACCGGCCGGCCUCUCCUCAUCUCCUCUCUUUUCCUGCAGCAACUUCUCCUGAAAACAACUAACUGUUCCUCGCCGUACCGUACGUACUCGAACACUCUCUUUCUCGCUCGUCGUAUCGAUUGCUGUCUGCUGCUGGACGAUGCGCUUCUCCUCGUCGCCUUCUUCGCCUCACCGGCAUCAGCAGACCUGUAAAUGCAUGUUUGGACGACGUACGGAAGAAUAAACGAUCGAUGCUUACUUCUGCAAAUUAAACCAUGCACCACCACGUACCUGCGAAUCAGUACCACCAGGUCAACUCAGCUUCUAUGCAGCCUUAGAGUGAGUGCUAUCCUAUCGAUGGUUAAAAUGGCAUAUGAAGUAUGGAGAAGGAAAGCAGUGCCAGCCUGCCAGGCAGCAGGGCACCCAUAUAGGCACCUGCGUUAUGACGUAGCAAAGGUAGCAGAGAGGCUGAUUGGUGGGCACGCACAAUUACGAUGGAAUUGCUCAUUCAAGUUUAACUCCUUGAUUUGGUAUCUUUAUAUUUUUUUAGAUUUAUUCUAGAAGAAAUGGUGAUACAUACUCUUUUAGUGUAGAUGAUAUAUAUGUUCGCUUAACAAGAUGUAUAUGGUGACUAGCUUUAUCAAUCUUAAGACUUAUCAGUUUAUUGAUUACUCUUUUAGAGAUGUCAGACUAGGCUAUGUCUGCAUGAUAUAGGGUUAAAGUUUGUGCAUAUGGCGCGCUACAUUUAUAUUUUAUAGGGAUAAGUGCGCGUACUUAUAUACAAGCAUAUGUGUUUAGAAAUAAAAAUUGAGUUGAGAUGAUGUGAGCUGUUGGAUUGGCAACAUAAGAGGUAGGUGUUUCACAAAGUGUAUCUCCUUUUCUUUACACUGAUCCUUAACCCUUUUGCUUUACCAAAUUUACUGCAUCACACUACAUGCAUGCAUCAGCGUGACUGACAUUUUCGCUGACUUUGCCUUAUAAAUUAGUCUCCAUAUUGCACAACGGCGUGAAAAUGGUGUUUUGUCAAGCCAUUUAUUUUGGCGAGUAAAAAAAUUAUUUCUUGCCAUUUAAAUUUUGUACUAAAAGAGGCUUAAAACCUACGGAUUCGACGUAGUUGUCGCCAUAAUUUGAGGAACGAACAUGCAUGCAUGAUGCAUGAUGAACAUUAUCCGCAUCUUUCGCAUGGUUUUGCAAAGAAACGUGCAGUAAAACAAGUAGAACCAACAGCUCUCUGCUGCGCGCUCUGCCUGCCCUUUUGCCUACUAGUUGUGUGCGCUACUCUGUACUUUACUCAUUCAGUCAUUCUCACUGCCCACUCACAAACUAAGGUAAGACAAGAAAAUUAACCUACUCCUAUACCUCACGUUGGUCAUCU